Molecule: long non-coding RNA, 3561 nt
Organism: Ictalurus punctatus (channel catfish)
Lineage: Eukaryota; Metazoa; Chordata; Actinopteri; Siluriformes; Ictaluridae
Exons: 4
Source: RefSeq, a predicted model, not a curated record
UGUGCACAUGUGUGUUUUCCUACUAUAGGUGUUUAAGGACCCAUUUCGGUACUUCUCUAAGCAGGAGCUGAAGGAGCUUUUCACACUGGAGGACACGUACUCGUCCUCCAUUCGGCUGCAGCUGCAGUCGCUCCACUCGUCUGCGUGCCGCUCCGACCCUGAGCUGCAGUGCCACAUCUCCUCUCUGAAGGGCAUGAAUGUGUUUGGCGUGUCCCGUCAUGACUUGCUGUUCUCUAAUGAGGAUACUCUGCAGGACGAGGACAAAUAUGGUCACAAUUUGGCCCAUAUCUGUUCAGCGGUGCUAUAUCUAGGCCAUAUGUGACGGAUAAUACCCACAUGUGGCCCAAACGUACUUGCUAUUUGGGAUGUCUGGUUGGGGUGUGAAAAUUUUAGAUGCUGGAUUGACAGUUAUAUUAUUAAAUAACAAUAUGAACAGCAAGAUUAUUAAUUGGAGUAGCAUAAGUAAUGAAAAUAGCAAAUGUUAAUAUUCAUAAAUACAGGUAAUGGGAUUUAGUGUUAAUAGUGCAAGAGUAAGUGUAAAUAUGAAUCUGAAACAGAUGUGGCUGUUCAUCUCAGUGCUUGAAUUGAAGAAAAAGUCAAAAAAAUUUAGCCAUGUUGUAUAACAUACAUAAAGGGCAAGCAGGCGGAGCUUGUGUCCCCAAACAUGAUCAGUGCUUGCUUUGAUGUACAAAACUCCUCAUAUGGCAUAGAGCACGCACCAUACAGCAUUCCUCAAAUCUAGGCCUAAUUCUAAACCACUUUAGCUGGAAGACCCACCCACACACUGUGUGUGUCAGUGACUGUGUCUGUAUGGUUGGAUGAUGAGCAGGUGUGUGUGUGUGUGUGUCAGUGACUCGGGUGUCUGUACAGUAAGCUGAUGAGCAGUUGUAUCUCACUGUCUCCAGUGUUAAUGUCAGUGGCCUUCAGAAAAAAGUCCAGUGCUUCCUGUUUCAUCCCUUUAGACAAACACGUUCCCAGAAUGCACCAGUGAAUCAAACGAUUCCUCUGGAUGUUUGACAUCAUUUGGACUCUGCACUUCAGUGGCUGCACACUGAUGCACAACUUCACUAGAGGCCAGUUGAACGUCAGUGAAGCUCUUUACCAUCACCUUCCUCUUCCUCCUCGCACUCAACCAUGUGUUCACUAGGCUCUGGCUCGUCCUCUGGCUCCUCCCACUCCUCUAAUUUUUCCUCUUUCGUCUCUGGUUCCUCCUCUUCCUCCUCCAUAUCCUGCAGCUGUGACUGUACUCAUGAGUGUCGUGAUGCGAUUGAUGUGUUCCUGCUGCAUCUGCGGUUGGUGCCAUUAUUCAGCAUGGAUUCGGGUGUGGAAGAUCUGAGGCCCAUGAAGCUGCGAGCUAAUGGACUGCUAGCCAAAACAGGUUUCUCCACCUCUUCUUCUUCAUGCCCCUCUUCCUCACCAUCAUAGAUGACUUGCAGUUUUUUUUUUUGGUGGGGCAGAGCAAGGACUCGUCUGCUGCAGUGAAAUAUACUGAUUUCUGCCUACCACUAUCAUUGUUGGGUGUGGGGUCAGAUUCAUCUAUAGCUCCAGUGGCAGAGGUUUAGAUGCAUCAGCAUCAAACUCGAUGCAGGCUUUUGAAUCAAAGUCCACCUCUGAUAAUGCUUUUGGUAUGUUUGACUCAAUUCCCAACAGAACUACAGAUGAAUCUGAUUGCUUGAAAGGAGAAAUGUGCAAGGUCUGAUUUGAGUGAGUGUGUAUGAUCGGAUUUCUCCUCUAUGAUUAAACGCUCCUCAUCAUUUAUGCUCUUAAACACUUGUCCAAAAUAACUGUCCUGUCACCUGUGUAGAUAAAUCCAUCACAUGCUCAUCCUUCAUCUCCAUCCCUCCAUCCAUGCUCAUCAUCUCCAGCUCGUCUGAUCCUGAUUGGGUGAGAUCCACCACGGCAGGUGGGCUGAGGUUAUGGCAGGGUGGCGUGGUUUUGACAUCAUCCAUCGUCGUGUGUUGGUCUGGGCCCUGUUGCCUUGACAGCGGGAGCCAACUGGGUCCUGAGUUCUGAUUAACGCUGUCCAUCAUGAGGCUGUGCAGCUGUGACUCGGCCUGGACCAGGUCCUGCGCUUUCUGCACACGCUGGUCACUGUAAAUACAACACAUACAAAUACAACAGCACGGCACACUCUUCAAAAAAGAAAUUGCAAGCAUUCUAGCAAAAACUUUCAAAAACAAUUCCUCUAUUGAGAACUGCCCUCCUGCUUUCUGGACUUUUCUUACUCAGCAAGAGAAAGAAAAGAGAAACUUCAGCUCCGGUACAACCGACCUUUUACUACGCAUAGAACAUCUCUAUUUGAGGAAGAGUAAGAAAACAUAUAGUUAAAAGUAAAAAUACUAAAGUGUACCGUACCCCUAAAGCUGAUUGUUUGGUGGGGAGGUGUGUCUGAUUGCUUAUUCGGAAACAAUCUGAGACGCUGUGACAUUUAUUUCUUCUGGUUUAGUCAAAUUCAGAUUAAUGUUGUUUACAACACAGACAGCAGAAAAUCCAGGUGGAGGAGUUUCAGUUUCUGACACUGUGGUCUCAAUAUCUUUAGAACGAGGAACUGAACUCUCCAUACCUCCUGAACCACACCCUGAUCACAAGCACUUGGUACUAAUGGGCUAGGGGUUAGGCUUUUGGAGUUAAGGGGUUAGGGGUAGAGAAUAUGAGUUAGGCAGUAGGAAAUUACCUCUGUUACAGUGUUGGUGGACUUGAAAUGUGGAGUUUGUGGAAUAUCAGUAAGACUGUAAUUCCCAGAAUGCACUGCAUGAGAUGAGAGUGAGGAGGGUACAGGAUUCUCUGCAGUGCCAGUGUACACCUCAGAGCUCUGGACUCGAAACUUUACAUUCUGAAACCCUGUAAGACAGAAUUGUGUCCAUAGCACAUUAUCAGUCUUACCCUGUGUGUGUGUGUGUGUCUGUCUGUCUGUCUGUGUAGUCACUUCUUCCAUAAGGCAUGUGUUGAGCCAUGGCUGAUGGAUCAUAGGACCUGCCCGAUGUACGUGUGUCAUCCUCAAAUCCCUCAGAGUAGAGCAGCACUGAGUACUUUCACACACACUGUGACUCAGUCUCCAGCAUACACCCCAACUCCGAGUCUCUCACACAGCGAUGCUGCCUUUUCUGGAUAUGAAUCUCUGCAUGCAACAGAGCAGCUGGGUCCUGCUGACCACACACAUGAAGAAACCUCUUCACGGCUAAAGCUGCAGAGAUGGAGGUUGAGGGGACCAUGAAGAGGUAGCUCCAGCUGGUGUCAGAUCGAGAGUGCGGGUGCAAGAGAAGACUUUUGAAAACUUUUGCAAAAAGAAGCCCUUUCCAGUAGAGGUUAUAUGAUGUUCCGAUCCAUCUUUUCACACUGAGGACAAUUGAAGGACUCGUACACGACUAUUCCAAAAGGUGCAAACAUUCACUGAUGCUCAAGAAGGUAACAGCAUCCAUUAAGAGCCUGGCUGUAAACGUUGUAAACAGGAUGAUCAUGUAAAUUUUUUUGUCUUCUGGGAUACUUCUUCUAUGCUGUAUUAACCAUCUUUCUGUAAUAAACCUUUUUCACCUCAGAGGACGAGUCUGCAAGUGUUGUCUA